Long non-coding RNA from Bos taurus (domestic cattle), 1492 nucleotides. Lineage: Eukaryota; Metazoa; Chordata; Mammalia; Artiodactyla; Bovidae. The record is from Ensembl.
GGUGCUAUCCCUUAGUCAUGCUCCCAGGAUAUCCUGUGUGGGGACUCUUAUUUUAAGUAUGUUGGAAUAGCUCCACUUUCUCAAUGGUGGAAUUUUUCAAGUCUUGCCUCCGGCUCUCUUUUUCAAACACCAGUCAUUUCAAUAUGGUCAGGGCCUUUAUAGCAAUUUACUCCUUAGAGCAAAAUAUUUGGCCUAAAUACUCUGGGCUGUCAUGGUGUCUGGUCUAGGUGGAAGGACAGUUGCCGGCUCCUCGGGUUAAGUGAAUUCUUCCAUCUUCAUUUCUUCACAUGGAGCUCUGUCUGCUGCUGCUGUAAGAAAAAUGACACCGAACCUGGGAGGAAAGACAUGAGACAGAGAAAUGUAAUGAGCACUUGUCUUCCGGAUCAAAAGCAGCGUGGGCGUGAGCAUCAUCAGAGUCAUUCUAGCAGGCACAGGGACGCUCAUCCCGACUACAGAGCUGACUACUGUGUCCACCCCGGGAACGAAGUGUCCCAUUCUGAAGGUAUUUUGUGAUCAUGGUUCUCUCCCUGCUGAAAGCCUACAUUGCCUUCUCUCUCUCUGUGUUUGGGUACAGAGUGACCUGUUUUGUCAUCAGGCUAAGCUCAGUGAGACAGGCUGCGGCGGGACCACGAUCGUCACCCGAGACAUGAGUCUAGCACACAGAGGAACCAAACAGGCACGGCCGGGGCUUCCAGCUUUGAUGGCCAACGUCUGCUCCUCUCGCUGCAGGACCCACUGCACAGCCUCAGAGGUUUGAAACAGCACAAGAAACUGGCUGUGGCUUGACAGGCUCCUAUGCUUCCAGGUCUCACAAGGCCGCAGACAAGGUGUCGGCUCGGUUUCGAUCUCAACUGAGGCUUGGCUGGAGAAGGAUUCACGCUCAAGCUUCCUCUGUUGUUGACAGAAUCCAAUUCCUUGCAGCCGUAGGACCAAGGGCCCCUUGUUCCGCUGGGUGUUAGCUGGUGGUCUAUGCAGGCUGUUGGCUAGGCCGCCCUCAACACCUAAAGGCUCCCCCAGUUCCCUGCUACCUGGAGGUCCCCAGGACCAAGGGCCCCUUGUUCUGCUGGGUGUUAGCUGGCGGUCUAUGCAGGCUGUUGGCUAGGCCACCCUCAACACCUAAAGGCUUCCCCAGUUCCCUGCUACCUGGAGGUCCCCAGCUUGGCUGCCUGCUUCCUCAGAGCUGGCCGUGGAGAGAAAGCGACCCCGGGGGGCUGCCCUUGGGGUUCAGGGGUUAAGAAACUGCCUACUAAGGCAGGUGACUGGGUCGGACCCCUGGUCUGGGAAAGUUCCAGACGCCACAGGGCAGCUAAGCCCAUGUGCCACAACCACUGAGCCCGCAAGCCGCGACGACUGCAGCAGGAGACGUUGGCACAGCGAGAAGCCGGAGAAUGGCAGCGCGUGAGGAGCCCCACCUGCUGCAACGAGCGGAGGCUGGGGCACAGCCACGGAGACGCGGCACACUCAAAGAUAAAUUAAAAAAUAAAAAUAACUU